RNAcentral lists this transfer RNA (77 nucleotides) under Mollicutes bacterium. RNAcentral's name for it is "tRNA-Thr". It matches the Rfam family "tRNA". From Rfam's summary of the family: Transfer RNA (tRNA) molecules are approximately 80 nucleotides in length. The record is from RNAcentral. Lineage: Bacteria; Bacillati; Mycoplasmatota; Mollicutes.
GCUGACUUAGCUUAAUUUGGCAAAGCACCCGCCUUGUAAGCGGAAGAGUGUAGGUUCGAUUCCUAUAGUCAGCACCA